Molecule: ribosomal RNA, 2294 nt
Filed under: Triticum aestivum (bread wheat)
Lineage: Eukaryota; Viridiplantae; Streptophyta; Magnoliopsida; Poales; Poaceae
Description: partial small subunit ribosomal RNA
Source: RNAcentral
CACAUCUGUUGAAAUACUUUCAUUUGUUUAACCUCUUCUUUACUCAAUCCUGUUAGUAGAUCCUUUCUCACUUAUACAUGAAUAAUCCAUUUGAAUGAACGUUAACAAACAGGUUUUGUGAAAGGUAAGAAAUACAGUAAGUAUUCAAGGAAGUCAAAAUUGUACUUAUGAGACCGUUGUUAUAGACCUGCUAGGAGUCCAAAGACCGGACCUUAAUCUAGGUUGUAUAGAACAUAAAGGUCGGUAAAACCUAACGUACAUUUUCAUUACUUCUCUAGUACUAUCGGUCGGGUUGCUGUUUAGCGGUACCGUAGAACCAUUAAAACGACGAAUAAAGAACCUGACGGUAAUAUACUACUCCCAUCAUACUAAGAAACAGGUUGAACAAGCCAAGCACAUAGAGGUAAAAGAUAACGUAGUACGUCAGGAGACAUGUCAAGACUGGAGUUGAAUGGAACCAAACAGGACAUGAUUAAAUCAGAGGUGAUAAGUUACGUACAACGACGUAGUUGAUUCUUGACGUCCUUGUUUGUAGGUGAGUAAACGUUACAACUUCGAACCAAGUCUGCAACAACAUACGCUAUGCGUAUUUUGAGGUCGUAACAAUGUAUGAAAGAAAAUGGAAACGACGGAGAAAAUAAAAGUAUGAGAUAAAGACCAGACUUUGGUAGAAGAGGUAUACCUUUUUCGUUCCCCAUGACGUAACUGUAUAUCGAACCCACGUUGAGACUUUAGGAGACAUUGUAAGACAGAAACCAGAGUUGAUAAUAUAGUUUAAGUAAUAAAAGAGGUAGAACAAGGUUAUUAAUCACGACGCUGAAGACUACGUCUACCAUCCAACAUAACGGCAGGUAGAAAGCUGGAAAACAACUAGUUAGAAUCAGAAUGUAGAAAUUAUGCGGCCAAAACCUUAGACAGGGAACGGUAUGUUUUACUAAACUGAUUUUGUGACACGAGUAGUUCGUAGAGGUCAUCAGGAAACUGUUACAAAAGUAGACCAACACAGAAUGAGAGGCAACUUCGUCUACGUAAUUAGGAUAAGGCGUGAAGUAAAAGACACAGUACAUACAUGUUAACCCGUUUAAAACCAAAGUAGUGCAGUAGAAAUCCUUCAUUUCACGGUUAGACUACCAUUAAGACAGGUAAGUUUGCCUUUUGUAUGCCAGGUCUACGGACGAAUAAUUAAAGUAUCAGUUGGAAAGGAGGGUAACUUCACUUACGCUUGUAGCUCAACAUGCUGGACUACAAGACCGCCUUUAAACUACUAAGAGGAGAAAGUAACAUUGCAUCAUCGACAGCCUCUAUGUUGCCUCGAAGAAAGUCACCACCAUUAAAUUGAAAGGGAAGGAACGUCGUCUCUGGUUUAAAACCUUGACACUACAAUGGACACGAACACGAAGAGAGAGGUACGGUGUAUACCGUAACGUUUUAAGUGUUUGUGUUAAACCAAAAGGGUCUAUACUUUGAACUCACUGUAGGAAGCGAUGUAAUCUAUGAAGUGUCAGUAACGGGAAAAGACAGGAAUCAGCAAACGAACGGAAAAAGUCGACCUCCUAGAGAAAGGAAAAGGCGGAUCGAAGGAAACAACGACGAGAUUACUACAGACUAACUGAUAGUAAUCUAAGCUCACAACGAUCAAACCUCCGACGAACGAGUCACGCACAAACUGCGUACAACUGACGCCGAUCACUUAGGACUUUAUUUACUCCGUGGUGUAACAAACGUUCCUACGACUUCCUCUGUACGUAUAUAAUAAACACCUUCCUGUAUUACUUGUAACCGACGUUCAUGACGGUGUUGGACAGACGAGGAACGACGAACGCUCUCCUCCCGUUACAGAACGACCCUACACGUGCGAGACAUUAACCACUAAACUUAGAGUUCAAAUAGCCGCUUCAAUUAUGUUUCGUACACUUACUCUAGUCUCUCAAUUACGUAUAUAAUUAGUAACGUUCCUCUGUAAGUACAUAAUAAACACCUUCCUCUAUUACUUGUAAUGGACGUUCAUGAUGGUGUGUUGGACAGACGAGGAACAACGACCGCUCUCCUGAUUAAUAACGUACAUACAUUACUUCCUACUCUAGCCCCCGCUACAGAACGGACCUACACGUACUUAACUCAGCUAUAUCUUAAGAAUAAACAUUUCUUCGCAUCAAUUCCGAUCUCAAAGAUCCAAUCUCAAACAGUAGACAUGCAAAAUUUGGAUAUGUUAUAGACUCGGCAAUAAUAAAACACAGUGGUCUAUCUACCGAGGAUGAACUUCAGUCAAAGGUACAUACGAUUUUAUAUACGUG